This 1092-nucleotide long non-coding RNA is filed under the name Salmo salar (Atlantic salmon). RNAcentral's name for it is "lncRNA (ENSSSAG00000092364.1)". Lineage: Eukaryota; Metazoa; Chordata; Actinopteri; Salmoniformes; Salmonidae. The record is from RNAcentral.
GUUUGAUUGGACAAGUCACAGGAACUCCUCAGGAACAUGAUGGAGCUAUCAUGGAGAUACCAUCUAAACAACUGUAGAAACCACCCUCUAUCACCUGUCGAACUACAAUGGAAGACUCAUAAGACAAGCUGAGAAGACUCAAGAGUUGGUCACCCAAUACUUAGAGUCAAGUCAUUGAACUUUUGACCGUGACCAUGUCUUCAUGGUCUUCAUUCACAACCACAACCAUACCACAACCAUACCACCCAGCUGGUCCUUGUGCUUUUACUCUAAUGCUCCCAAGGUGUACUUACCCAUGAUCACAAACAUGUACAGAGCACAAACACUCACGAACUGGAGUUUCUUGAGCAAUGAAUGUUAUCAAACAUUGAUGAUGUCACUGACACAUCCUCAUCUAAUCGUCACCCAUCCUGCUCUCCAGCCAAUGUCUGCUCUCCCACCCUUUACCCCUACACAUCCUCUCCCCUCUCCCCUGUACCCCUCUCUACACCUCCUCUUACUGAGCUGCCCCUCACUCUCCUCCCCCUUGCGCCUUCACCUCUCUUCCCCUCCUUCCCUCCCCCACCCCUGCUGCUACUUGCUUACAGAAGGACAGGAGCAGAGGAGUGGACUUCCCUCCCCCUUGCACCAUCUCAGACAGUAUUAUUACCAUAGUGUUUGGUAAGGAGAGACAUAGUGUAGGGUAGCGUCUAUCCCAGUGAUGAGAGUUUCUUCCCUGCAUGAUUCCAGAAUCGAACGACAUUACUGUUUCAGCGCGUGGAGCCGCCCUCCCCCAUCCAGGACGGGCCUCUCAGCCUCCCUCCUACCCAACCGGCAGACCCCGUCAACAGCCUGUGAGUAGACCCCUGUCCCCCCCCUCCAACUCUCUCUCUCUGGGUCUCUCUGUCCUCUCCCUCUCUCUCUGUUUUCUCUCUCCCUCUUUCUUUGCAGCCAGAGGGAGGAUGGGUAGUGGCUCCACAGGUGGAGUGUCAUCCAUGAGAAGGAGGAGCAGGACGACACGCUGGGCGGACACGCCUCACGUGUAGAGGACCACUGUGUGUAUGUGUAUGUGCGUGUGUAGUGGGUUCAGAAAGGCUGGUGUAUGGGUUUGUG